Molecule: ribosomal RNA, 497 nt
Filed under: uncultured bacterium
Lineage: Bacteria
Description: partial 16S ribosomal RNA
Rfam family: Bacterial small subunit ribosomal RNA
Source: RNAcentral
GAUGAACGCUGGCGGCGUGCCUAAUACAUGCAAGUCGAGCGAACAGACGAGGAGCUUGCUCCUCUGACGUUAGCGGCGGACGGGUGAGUAACACGUGGAUAACCUACCUAUAAGACUGGGAUAACUUCGGGAAACCGGAGCUAAUACCGGAUAAUAUAUUGAACCGCAUGGUUCAAUAGUGAAAGACGGUUUUGCUGUCACUUAUAGAUGGAUCCGCGCCGCAUUAGCUAGUUGGUAAGGUAACGGCUUACCAAGGCGACGAUGCGUAGCCGACCUGAGAGGGUGAUCGGCCACACUGGAACUGAGACACGGUCCAGACUCCUACGGGAGGCAGCAGUAGGGAAUCUUCCGCAAUGGGCGAAAGCCUGACGGAGCAACGCCGCGUGAGUGAUGAAGGUCUUCGGAUCGUAAAACUCUGUUAUUAGGGAAGAACAAAUGUGUAAGUAACUAUGCACGUCUUGACGGUACCUAAUCAGAAAGCCACGGCUAACUUCGUG